This 253-nucleotide ribosomal RNA is filed under the name uncultured bacterium. Its description in RNAcentral is "partial 16S ribosomal RNA". It matches the Rfam family "Bacterial small subunit ribosomal RNA", at positions 524 to 776 of the family's 1533-position model. The record is from RNAcentral.
UACGGAGGGAGCUAGCGUUGUUCGGAAUUACUGGGCGUAAAGCGCACGUAGGCGGCGAUCUAAGUCAGAGGUGAAAGCCCGGGGCUCAACCCCGGAAUAGCCUUUGAGACUGGAUUGCUAGAAUCCGGGAGAGGUGAGUGGAAUUCCGAGUGUAGAGGUGAAAUUCGUAGAUAUUCGGAAGAACACCAGUGGCGAAGGCGGCUCACUGGACCGGCAUUGACUCUGAGGUGCGAAAGCGUGGGGAGCAAACAGG